CGUGCCCAGUCGUGGGGGAUAACGCAGCGAAAGCUGUGCUAAUACCGCAUACGAUCUCUGGAUGAAAGCGGGGGACUCGCAAGAGCCUCGCGCGAUUGGAGCGGCCGAUAUCAGAUUAGCUAGUUGGCGGGGUAAAGGCCCACCAAGGCGACGAUCUGUAGCUGGUCUGAGAGGACGACCAGCCACACUGGAACUGAGACACGGUCCAG
RNAcentral lists this ribosomal RNA (209 nucleotides) under uncultured bacterium. RNAcentral describes it as "partial 16S ribosomal RNA". It matches the Rfam family "Bacterial small subunit ribosomal RNA", at positions 125 to 334 of the family's 1533-position model. The record is from RNAcentral.